Hyaena hyaena (striped hyena) is the source of this 613-nucleotide long non-coding RNA. RefSeq lists it as uncharacterized. The record is from RefSeq and is a predicted model, not a curated record. Lineage: Eukaryota; Metazoa; Chordata; Mammalia; Carnivora; Hyaenidae. The transcript has 3 exons.
CUCACAUUGAUGACUUAUGGAGAAACAAGACGGUCUUGGGGUGCAGAGGCUACUUUUAUCCUUUCCCAAUCUCCAAACACCCCUCGCAUUCUCCUCUGAUUCCUCAGCAGGAACAGUCAUGUAGAAGAGACCCAAGAAGGUGAGGACACAUGAAUAUGGUGUUCAUUUUCAAAACUUGAAAAAGAAGAUAAUUGCAGGUGGAGCCAUCUGAGGCAAGAGACGACACUUGAGUUGUCAAUAAGAGAUCCCAUCAUUGUCUACAGUCCCCAACCAGGGCUCUCUGAGGGUCACAGAGGCCAACCGCAGUGGCUGGAAGUCUUCACUUGAGUCAUCUGAGCUGACCAGUACAGGUUUCCCCUGAGGACUCACCAACUGUGAGGAUAACUGUAGAGUUCGUGGUUUUCGCACACAUCUUCUUGGAAGGCUGGAUGCUGGUUCACAAUUCUGCCCUGCGAAUAUCUAUCUGCAGAUGUUCACUUGUCUCCCUCGCUCUUCAAAAUGAAGCAAAUAUAUACGGAUACAAGAUUCAAUAAGAAGUAUUGAGCAAAUCAAGUUAAAAAAUGCCCCCUAAACCCUCCAGAGGCCCAGACACUAAACAUAUUUUUCCAUUUAA